This 482-nucleotide ribosomal RNA is filed under the name uncultured bacterium. Its description in RNAcentral is "bacterial SSU rRNA". It matches the Rfam family "Bacterial small subunit ribosomal RNA", at positions 29 to 524 of the family's 1533-position model. The record is from RNAcentral.
AAUGAACGUUGGCGGCGUGGAUUAGGCAUGCAAGUCGAGCGCGAUAUGUAGCAAUACAUGGAGAGCGGCGAAAGGGAGAGUAAUACGUAGGUAUCUACCCUCGGGUCUGGGAUAGCAGCGGGAAACUGCUGGUAAUACCAGAUAACGUCUCCGGACCAAAGGUGUGAUUCCACCUGAGGAGGAGCCUACGGCCUAUUAGCUAGUUGGUAGGGUAACGGCCUACCAAGGCAAAGAUGGGUAUGGGGUGUGAGAGCAUGCCCCCACUCACUGGACUGAGACACUGCCCAGACACCUACGGGUGGCUGCAGUCGAGAAUCUUCGGCAAUGGGCGAAAGCCUGACCGAGCGACGCCGCGUGCGGGAUGAAGGCCUUCGGGUUGUAAACCGCUGUCGUAGUGGAGGAAAUGUAGGAGAGUUAUCUCUUCUACUUGACUAAUACUAGGAGGAAGGACCGGCUAAUCUCGUGCCAGCAGCCGCGGUAAU